AUGCAUCAAGUUUGCACAAGGUGGCAAAUCCAACAAUUUAUGUACUGUAUUUGCAUUUUGCAAGAUAAUUUGGCUGCCAAAGUGCUACAUCAUAUCUCACUAGACCUAUUGAAAUCCAACAUCCGUUCGUCCUCUAAAUUGGGGCUCCAUGGCUGCCAACCGACGGAGCAAGAAAAGAGACCACCCUCUCCUCCUCCGGUUUGGAGCUCCAUGGCCGCCAUUCGACAGGCGCACUUCGUCAUUGCCUCCUCACCGCCUCACCUGGUAGACCGCAGGUAUGUGAGAAAAAAUAUUGUAUUGCUUGGAAAAAGCAUGCAAAAUUAG
RNAcentral lists this ribosomal RNA (324 nucleotides) under Triticum aestivum (bread wheat). RNAcentral's name for it is "partial small subunit ribosomal RNA". Lineage: Eukaryota; Viridiplantae; Streptophyta; Magnoliopsida; Poales; Poaceae. The record is from RNAcentral.